CAGAGGAUAGUUUAUAAAAAAUAUUAACUUUGGGAGUUAAUGACGGAAGAAAAUUUCUUCUCUGAC
Molecule: transfer RNA, 66 nt
Filed under: Cancer pagurus (edible crab)
Lineage: Eukaryota; Metazoa; Arthropoda; Malacostraca; Decapoda; Cancridae
Description: tRNA-Pro
Source: RNAcentral